UCCAUAUUACAUAUUCCCAUAUACAUUAAUUACCAUAAUUAAAUACACCCAACCAACAUAGCCGUUGGGUGUUCCUCUAUAUAAACACAUCUAACCCUAGUUCAAUUUUACACACGAUCAUACACACACACACUCCGUAAUACAAUUACAGACUCUGUGAUACUCUGUCUGAUCAUUCUGCAACUACAACUGCUGAUCUUCAAAACGCUUCCGCAAUACAACAACUUGAAUCACAGAUUCAAGUUCAAAUCAUCUUCAAUUCACUUCAACAAGAUGUGGAUCAUCGCUUCAUCAAACCUUGAUCAACCGAUCAUCCUACAGUAUCAAUUUACAGUUCAUUAUCAUAUCAUCAUACAUACAUCCAUAAUUCAAUAUCUAUCACAUUCAUAAACCAUAUUUCAUAUUUAUAUUUGCAUAUAUAUCAAAUAUAUCUUCU
This 436-nucleotide long non-coding RNA is filed under the name Zostera marina. Its description in RNAcentral is "long non-coding RNA (ZMAR_LNC002632)". Lineage: Eukaryota; Viridiplantae; Streptophyta; Magnoliopsida; Alismatales; Zosteraceae. The record is from RNAcentral.